UACGGGGGGGGGUAAGCGUUGUUCGGAAUUACUGGGCGUAAAGGGCUCGUAGGCGGCCAACUAAGUCAGACGUGAAAUCCCUCAGCUUAACUGGGGAACUGCGUCUGAUACUGGAUGGCUUGGAUUUGGGAGAGGGAUGCGGAAUUCCUGGUGUAGCGGUGAAAUGCGCAGAUAUCAGGAAGAACACCCGUGGCGAAGGCGGUUCUCUGGGACGGUACUGACGCUGAGACGCGAAAGCGUGGGGGAGCGAACAGG
This 255-nucleotide ribosomal RNA is filed under the name uncultured bacterium. Its description in RNAcentral is "partial 16S ribosomal RNA". It matches the Rfam family "Bacterial small subunit ribosomal RNA", at positions 524 to 776 of the family's 1533-position model. The record is from RNAcentral.